GUGGGGAAUCUUGCGCAAUGGGCGAAAGCCUGACGCAGCCAUGCCGCGUGAAUGAUGAAGGUCUUAGGAUUGUAAAAUUCUUUCACCGGGGACGAUAAUGACGGUACCCGGAGAAGAAGCUCCGGCUAACUUCGUGCCAGCAGCCGCGGUAAUACGAAGGGGGCUAGCGUUGCUCGGAAUUACUGGGCGUAAAGGGCGCGUAGGCGGACAGCUUAGUCAGAGGUGAAAGCCCAGGGCUCAACCUUGGAAUUGCCUUUGAUACUGGCUGUCUUGAGUUUGGAAGAGGUGAGUGGAACUCCGAGUGUAGAGGUGAAAUUCGUAGAUAUUCGGAAGAACACCAGUGGCGAAGGCGACUCACUGGCCCAAUACUGACGCUGAGGCGCGAAAGCGUGGGGAGCAAACAGGAUUAGAAACCCUUGUAGUCC
This 425-nucleotide ribosomal RNA is filed under the name uncultured bacterium. RNAcentral describes it as "partial 16S ribosomal RNA". It matches the Rfam family "Bacterial small subunit ribosomal RNA", at positions 354 to 796 of the family's 1533-position model. The record is from RNAcentral.